GGUGAUAUAGCUCAGUUGGUUAGAGCGGUUCACUCAUAAUGAACAGGUCGUUGGUUCAAGUCCAACUAUCACCA
Molecule: transfer RNA, 74 nt
Filed under: bacterium
Lineage: Bacteria
Description: tRNA-Met
Rfam family: tRNA
About the family: Transfer RNA (tRNA) molecules are approximately 80 nucleotides in length.
Source: RNAcentral